RNAcentral lists this ribosomal RNA (305 nucleotides) under uncultured bacterium. RNAcentral's name for it is "bacterial SSU rRNA". It matches the Rfam family "Bacterial small subunit ribosomal RNA", at positions 334 to 653 of the family's 1533-position model. The record is from RNAcentral.
GAUACCCACGGGGGGCAGCAGUGGGGAAUAUUGCACAAUGGAGGGAACCCUGAUGCAGCAAUGCCGCGUGAAGGAUGAAGGUUUUCGGAUUGUAGACUUCUUUUGUACGGGACGAAGAAAGUGACGGUACCGUAAGAAUAAGCCCCGGCUAACUACGUGCCAGCAGCCGCGGUAAUACGUAGGGGGCAAGCGUUAUCCGGAUUUACUGGGUGUAAAGGGAGCGUAGACGGCAGGGCAAGUCUGGAGUGAAAGGCAGGGGCCCAACCCCUGGACUGCUCUGGAAACUGUCCGGCUGGAGGGCAGGG